Pelmatolapia mariae (spotted tilapia) is the source of this 902-nucleotide long non-coding RNA. RefSeq lists it as uncharacterized. The transcript has 4 exons. Lineage: Eukaryota; Metazoa; Chordata; Actinopteri; Cichliformes; Cichlidae. The record is from RefSeq and is a predicted model, not a curated record.
UCUACGAUCAAUGCUAGGUUAAAGAUGAUCACAGCUAAUGUUAUGCUAUAAUCUGAAUAGACUGUGGAAAUGUGAUUCAUCAUGCUCUGCAGGGACCUGUAGCAGUAACACUUUGGAUGAAAUGUGAGACUGAACAACCAGACUGAAUAGCAGCGCAAAACCAAAGAGGGGCUCAUCAGUCAAGCUCCCUGUGGAUUGUCCGCUCCAUUUCAAACACAUCAUGACCUGAACUCACCCGCAGCCACUCAGGGCACAAAGCUCACCUAUGGCAGGUGGGAUAGGAGAUGGAUUUGGAGAUGCAAAGAUUUUACUGUAUCAGAACAUGUCCAGAACAUGGAUUUGAGUGGCUGCAUUUUACAUCUAUAACAGCAAACUGGACUGGACUCAUAACUCAGACGCCCUCUACAGGAAAGGGCAGAGCAGACUGUACCUGCUGCGGAGACUCAGGUCAUUUGGAAUGGAGGGCCCACUCCUGAAGACCUUCUAUGACUCUGUGGUGGCCUCAGCCAUCUUUUAUGGUGUGGUCUGCUGGGGCGGCAGCAUCUCUGCUGGGGACAGGAAGAGACUGAACAGGCUUAUCCGAAGGGCCAGCUCUGUUCUAGGAUGCCCUCUGGACCCAGUGGAGGUGGUGAGUGACAGGAGAAUGGUGGCUAAGCUGUCAUCCCUGUUGGACAACAUCUCCCACCCCAUGCAUGAGACUGUGACAGCACUGAGCAGCUCCUUCAGUGGGAGACUGCGGCACCCACGGUGUGGGACGGAGAGAUUUCGCAGGUCUUUCCUCCCCACCGCUGUCAGACUCCACAACAAAGACUUUAACUGAUCAAACACACACAUCCACACAUGUGCAAUAACACUAAGUGCAAUAAUCUUUUCUGGCAUCGUUGUAUUUUUACUCAGUUGUA